RNAcentral lists this ribosomal RNA (253 nucleotides) under uncultured bacterium. RNAcentral describes it as "partial 16S ribosomal RNA". It matches the Rfam family "Bacterial small subunit ribosomal RNA", at positions 524 to 776 of the family's 1533-position model. The record is from RNAcentral.
UACGAGGGGGGCAAGCGUUGUUCGGAAUUAUUGGGCGUAAAGGGCGCGUAGGCGGUCGGAUAAGUCUUGUGUGAAAUCUUCGGGCUCAACUCGAAGUCUGCACAGGAAACUAUCUGGCUUGAGUGUGGGAGAGGUGAGUGGAAUUCCUGGUGUAGCGGUGAAAUGCGUAGAUAUCAGGAGGAACACCUGUGGCGAAAGCGGCUCACUGGACCACAACUGACGCUGAGGCGCGAAAGCUAGGGGAGCAAACAGG